RNAcentral lists this ribosomal RNA (420 nucleotides) under bacterium. RNAcentral describes it as "partial 16S ribosomal RNA". It matches the Rfam family "Bacterial small subunit ribosomal RNA", at positions 355 to 776 of the family's 1533-position model. The record is from RNAcentral.
UGGGGGAUAUUGCACAAUGGGCGAAAGCCUGAUGCAGCGACGCCGCGUGGAGGAUGAAGGCUUUCGGGUUGUAAACCUCUUUCGCUAUCGAACAAGGCCCGCUUAGGGUGGGUUGAGGGUAGGUGGAGAAGAAGCGCCGGCUAACUACGUGCCAGCAGCCGCGGUAAUACGUAGGGCGCGAGCGUUGUCCGGAAUUAUUGGGCGUAAAGGGCUUGUAGGCGGCUUGUUGCGCCUGCUGUGAAAACGCGGGGCUUAACUUCGCGCGUGCAGUGGGUACGGGCAGGCUUGAGUGUGGUAGGGGUGACUGGAAUUCCAGGUGUAGCGGUGGAAUGCGCAGAUAUCUGGAGGAACACCGAUGGCGAAGGCAGGUCACUGGGCCAUUACUGACGCUGAGGAGCGAAAGCAUGGGUAGCGAACAGG